This 627-nucleotide ribosomal RNA is filed under the name uncultured Acidobacteriota bacterium. Its description in RNAcentral is "bacterial SSU rRNA". It matches the Rfam family "Bacterial small subunit ribosomal RNA", at positions 71 to 714 of the family's 1533-position model. Lineage: Bacteria; Pseudomonadati; Acidobacteriota. The record is from RNAcentral.
AACUUUCCUUCGGGGAAGAUAUAAAGUGGCGCACGGGUGAGUAACACGUAGGUAAUGUACCUUUGGGUGGGGAAUAACUUAGGGAAACUUAAGCUAAUACCGCAUAAUGCAGCGGCUCCUUAUGGAGACAGUUGUUAAAGAUUUAUCGCCUAAAGAGCAGCCUGCGGCAGAUUAGCUAGUUGGUAAGGUAAUGGCUUACCAAGGCUACGAUCUGUAUCCGACCUGAGAGGGUGGUCGGACACACUGACACUGAAUAACGGGUCAGACUCCUACGGGAGGCAGCAGUCGGGAAUUUUGGGCAAUGGGCGAAAGCCUGACCCAGCAACGCCGCGUGAAGGAUGAAGUCUUUCGGGAUGUAAACUUCGUAAGAAUAGGAAGAAUAAAUGACGGUACUAUUUGUAAGGUCCGGCUAACUACGUGCCAGCAGCCGCGGUAAUACGUAGGGACCAAGCGUUGUUCGGAUUUACUGGGCGUAAAGGGCGCGUAGGCGGCAAUUCAAGUCAGUUGUGAAAUCUCCGAGCUUAACUCGGAACGGUCAACUGAUACUGCUUUGCUAGAGUACAGAAGGGGCAAUCGGAAUUCUUGGUGUAGCGGUGAAAUGCGUAGAUAUCAAGAGGAACACCUGAG